RNAcentral lists this ribosomal RNA (1235 nucleotides) under metagenome. Its description in RNAcentral is "bacterial LSU rRNA". It matches the Rfam family "Bacterial large subunit ribosomal RNA", at positions 1564 to 2808 of the family's 2925-position model. The record is from RNAcentral.
UGAAUACGAGACGCUAAGGCGUCGAAGUAGUGUAUGUCAUACUUCCAAGAAAAGCUUGCACUGUCAUAGAUAAAAAACGCCUGUACCAUAACCGACACAGGUGGGUAGGUAGAGUAUACUAAGGGGCGCGAGAUAACUCUCUCUAAGGAACUCGGCAAAAUAACUCCGUAACUUCGGGAGAAGGAGUGCCUUAUUCGUAAGGUUGCAAUAACAAGAUCCAAGCAACUGUUUAUCAAAAACACAGGUCUCCGCUAAGUCGUAAGACGAUGUAUGGGGGCUGACGCCUGCCCAGUGCCAGAAGGUUAAAGAAGUUGGUUAGCAAUUGCGAAGCUGAUAACUGAAGCCCUGGUGAACGGCGGCCGUAACUAUAACGGUCCUAAGGUAGCGAAAUUCCUUGUCGGGUAAGUUCCGACCCGCACGAAAGGCGUAAUGAUUUGGAUACUGUCUCGGAGAGGGGCUCGGUGAAAUAGACUUGUCUGUGAAGAUGCGGACUACCUGCACCAGGACAGAAAGACCCUAUGAAGCUUUACUGUAACUUGAAAUUGAAAUUGGACUUUAUUCGCGCAGUAUAGGUGGGAGGCGUUGAUUAUAAUCUUGUGGGAUUAUUGGAGCCAUCAGUGAGAUACCACUCUUGUAAUGUUAGAUUUCUAACUUUGAAUCAUUAUCUGGACAAAGAACAGUUUCAGGCGGGCAGUUUGACCGGGGCGGUCGCCUCCUAAACGGUAACGGAGGCGUACAAAGGUUUCCUCUGAACGGUUAGAAAUCGUAUCUAGAGUGUAAAGGCAUAAGGAAGCUUGACUGUGAGACCUACAAGUCGAGCAGGGACGAAAGUCGGUCUUAGUGAUCUGACGGUACUGAGUGGAAAGGCCGUCACUCAACGGAUAAAAGUUACUCUAAGGAUAACAGGCUGAUCUCCCCCAAGAGUUCACAUCGACGGGGAGGUUUGGCACCUCGAUGUCGGCUCAUCGCAUCCUGGGGCGGUAGUACGUCCCAAGGGUUGGGCUGUUCGCCCAUGAAAGCGGUACGCGAGCUGGGUUCAGAACGUCGUGAGACAGUUCGGUCCAUAUCCGGUGUAGGCGUUAGAAUAUUGAGAGGAGCCUUCUUUAGUACGAGAGGACCGAGAAGGACAUACCUCUGGUGUACCAGUUAUCGUGCCAACGGUAAACGCUGGGUAGCUAUGUAUGGAGUGGAUAACCGCUGAAAGCAUCUAAGUGGGAAGCCCACCUCAAGAUAAG